RNAcentral lists this ribosomal RNA (829 nucleotides) under Salmonella enterica subsp. enterica serovar Muenchen. RNAcentral's name for it is "partial 23S ribosomal RNA". It matches the Rfam family "Bacterial large subunit ribosomal RNA", at positions 345 to 1175 of the family's 2925-position model. Lineage: Bacteria; Pseudomonadati; Pseudomonadota; Gammaproteobacteria; Enterobacterales; Enterobacteriaceae. The record is from RNAcentral.
GAAAGGCGCGCGAUACAGGGUGACAGCCCCGUACACAAAAGCGUAUGUGCUGUGAGCUCGAUGAGUAGGGCGGGACACGUGGUAUCCUGUCUGAAUAUGGGGGGACCAUCCUCCAAGGCUAAAUACUCCUGACUGACCGAUAGUGAACCAGUACCGUGAGGGAAAGGCGAAAAGAACCCCGGCGAGGGGAGUGAAAAAGAACCUGAAACCGUGUACGUACAAGCAGUGGGAGCACAGGUUUACCUGUGUGACUGCGUACCUUUUGUAUAAUGGGUCAGCGACUUAUAUUCUGUAGCAAGGUUAACCGAAUAGGGGAGCCGGAGGGAAACCGAGUCUUAACCGGGCGUUAAGUUGCAGGGUAUAGACCCGAAACCCGGUGAUCUAGCCAUGGGCAGGUUGAAGGUUGGGUAACACUAACUGGAGGACCGAACCGACUAAUGUUGAAAAAUUAGCGGAUGACCUGUGGCUGGGGGUGAAAGGCCAAUCAAACCGGGAGAUAGCUGGUUCUCCCCGAAAGCUAUUUAGGUAGCGCCUCGUGAAUUCAUCUCCGGGGGUAGAGCACUGUUUCGGCUAGGGGGCCAUCCCGGCUUACCAACCCGAUGCAAACUGCGAAUACCGGAGAAUGUUAUCACGGGAGACACACGGCGGGUGCUAACGUCCGUCGUGAAGAGGGAAACAACCCAGACCGCCAGCUAAGGUCCCAAAGUCAUGGUUAAGUGGGAAACGAUGUGGGAAGGCCCAGACAGCCAGGAUGUUGGCUUAGAAGCAGCCAUCAUUUAAAGAAAGCGUAAUAGCUCACUGGUCGAGUCGGCCUGCGCGGAAGAUGUAA